CCCUUUAUGCUGCUAAAACUCCUCUGACCCAGUGGUUCAUCAGAACCUCUGGGGAUGUCCUGUGGAUCCUGUGGAUCCUGUGGGUUGCAGGGUGGGUCCUACCUAGACCAGGCUGAUCCUGGACCAUCCCACAGAUGCUCAAUGAGAUCUGGAUGUGGGGAGUGUGGAACCCAGAUGUUCAGAGGGAGAUGAUGCCACAUCUGGUCCAGCUGAUGGAAGGUCUUGAAGUUCUCUGACUGGCCUCGACUGAAGAUGGUCGUCUCACUGGAUUUAAGGUUCAGAUGCUCAGUAACAAACUCCACCAAUGAGCCAACAGGGAAGCUUUAGGUUUAUUAAAUGUUGCUAUGAAGGUUUCGCUGUUUUUCUUUGUGAAUGCAAUGUGCUCCAACUGAAACUUGAAUUAGAACUUAGAAGUAAAUCCUUCCAUCUGAAAGGAUCUAGUUGCAUUAAUAACCUCAUAACAUUCUAAUUUUUAUUCCAGUCUUGGCUGGAAAUAGAAUCUCUGUAUUGAUUCAGGUAAAAACUGAACUUCACAGCAUGUUGGAGCAAAACAACCAGAUGAAAACUGUGAUGGUGUUGGAUUGUCAGACCGUAAUAUUGCAGCUCAAAGCAGCUUUUCUAUCUCAGUUCAUUCUGACAUUCAGCUAUGAAUCAACACAGCAGAUGGUGAUCCAUGCUGUGGAAGUCUCACAUCUCCUGAUUUAAUGGAGCUGCUUUACACUUUUUACACUGUUUAUUCACCAACACUUUAUUUAAUAAAAGUCCCAUCUAGUUUUUAUGAGGAAUGUGAUGUUUUAAUUUCUCUGUGAAUAACUGCAGUCUAAUGCAACAGCUGGAGUUGUAACAUCUGUCCUGAUAUUGAUCAUGAAGUAUUGAUCAGAAUACUUAUGGUCAGCAGUCAUCCCUGAAGUUUUACAUUAAAAUCUUUACUUGUGUUGUGAACUUUGGUAAGAAGCAGAAACAUUAGCGUUGCCAUGGAUACAUGAGUGUUAAAUUCUGUCCAUGUUUCCAUUUUGGGAAAUUCAGCCAGCAGAUGAGUUUUUUUUUUUGUUUUUUUUUUAC
Long non-coding RNA from Amphiprion ocellaris (clown anemonefish), 1062 nucleotides. The record is from Ensembl. Lineage: Eukaryota; Metazoa; Chordata; Actinopteri; Pomacentridae.